Molecule: ribosomal RNA, 193 nt
Filed under: uncultured Chlamydiales bacterium
Lineage: Bacteria; Pseudomonadati; Chlamydiota; Chlamydiia; Chlamydiales
Description: partial 16S ribosomal RNA
Rfam family: Bacterial small subunit ribosomal RNA
Source: RNAcentral
ACACUGGGACUGAGACACUGCCCAGACUCCUACGGGAGGCUGCAGUCGAGAAUCAUUCGCAAUGGGCGNAAGCCUGACGAAGCGACGCCGUGUGAGCGANGAAGGCCUUCGGGUUGUAAAGCUCUUUCGCUAGGGAACAAGAGAGGUGGCGAAUAACACCCCGCCAAUUUGAUGGUACUUGGAAAAGAAGCAC